GAUGAAGAACGCAGCGAAAUGCGAUACGUAAUGUGAAUUGCAGAUUUCAGUGAAUCAUCGAAUCUUUGAACGCACAUUGCGCCCGCUAGUAUUCUGGCGGGCAUGCCUGUUCGAGCGUCAUUUCAACCAUCAAGCCCUAGGCUUGCGUUGGAGCCCUGCGGCUGCCGCAGGCUCCCAAAUCCAGUGGCGGGCUCGUCGUCGUACCGAGUGCAGUAAACAUCCUCGCUCAGGGAACGUGACGGGUUCUUGCCGUGAAACCCCCCACAUAUCAAGGUUGACCUCGGAUCAGGUAGGAAUACCCGCUGAACUUAAGCAUAUCAAUAAGCGGACGA
This 332-nucleotide unclassified non-coding RNA is filed under the name soil metagenome. Its description in RNAcentral is "partial contains 5.8S ribosomal RNA, internal transcribed spacer 2, and large subunit ribosomal RNA". The stretch from base 1 to 120 matches the Rfam family "5.8S ribosomal RNA", at positions 35 to 154 of the family's 154-position model. The record is from RNAcentral.